RNAcentral lists this ribosomal RNA (497 nucleotides) under uncultured bacterium. RNAcentral's name for it is "partial 16S ribosomal RNA". It matches the Rfam family "Bacterial small subunit ribosomal RNA", at positions 28 to 507 of the family's 1533-position model. The record is from RNAcentral.
GAUGAACGCUGGCGGCGUGCCUAAUACAUGCAAGUCGAGCGAACGGACGAGAAGCUUGCUUCUCUGAUGUUAGCGGCGGACGGGUGAGUAACACGUGGAUAACCUACCUAUAAGACUGGGAUAACUUCGGGAAACCGGAGCUAAUACCGGAUAAUAUUUUGAACCGCAUGGUUCAAAAGUGAAAGACGGUCUUGCUGUCACUUAUAGAUGGAUCCGCGCUGCAUUAGCUAGUUGGUAAGGUAACGGCUUACCAAGGCAACGAUGCAUAGCCGACCUGAGAGGGUGAUCGGCCACACUGGAACUGAGACACGGUCCAGACUCCUACGGGGGGCAGCAGUAGGGAAUCUUCCGCAAUGGGCGAAAGCCUGACGGAGCAACGCCGCGUGAGUGAUGAAGGUCUUCGGAUCGUAAAACUCUGUUAUUAGGGAAGAACAUAUGUGUAAGUAACUGUGCACAUCUUGACGGUACCUAAUCAGAAAGCCACGGCUAAGUACGUG